Molecule: long non-coding RNA, 1477 nt
Filed under: Lonchura striata (white-rumped munia)
Lineage: Eukaryota; Metazoa; Chordata; Aves; Passeriformes; Estrildidae
Description: domestica (Bengalese finch) lncRNA (ENSLSDG00000001674.1)
Source: RNAcentral
UGUAACCUCAGAGAGAAUCACCCAAAAUUGUCACAGAAUUUGGGGCUGGCUGGGGCUGGAGGGACUUUAGGGCUGAUCCAGGGCCACCUCCCCCUGUCCCAGCGUGCUCCAAACCCCCUCCAGCCUGGAGGGGGCACUGCCAGGGAUGGGGCAGCCACGUUUCCCUGGAGAAUGAGGGGUAACAACCUUUGGUUUACAACCAUGACACGUAAAUAGAGAAAGAAGCUGAAAAGAAACCCCAAAGCAGCCAAAACGCACGAGCUGUGUGUGUGUGAAACCCCCGAGGCCUGGAGCUGAGCCCUUAAACCCUCAGGAGGGGACAACAAACCCCUCGGGGGGGCCCCAAGCCCCUGUGUGCCCAUUUUGGGGUGCUCAGGGCUGUGCCUGUCCCUGCCCAGGGCUGCCAUCGAGGAGUCCCUGCGGGUGCUGCGCCACGCCGCCGGCAACAUCUACAUCAACGACAAAUCCACGGGGGCCGUGGUGGCCCAGCAGCCCUUCGGGGGCUCCCGCAUCUCAGGCACCAAUGACAAGCCCGGGGGUCCCCACUACCUGCUGCGCUGGACGUCCCCGCAGGCCAUCAAGGAGACACACGUGGCCCUGGGGGACUGGCAGUACCCCUGCAUGCAGUGACCCUGGGGGACUGGCAGUACCCCUGCAUGCAGUGACCCUGGGGACAGCUGCCACCGCAGCGCCGGCAGCGCUCGCACUACUGACCCCCCACCUGCCCCUCCUAGCUCCUGAAAAAAAAACAAACAAAAAAAGUUGUUAAAUGGUAAAAGCUCGGAGCUGCUCGUGGUGUCCUCGGCCGCCCCUGGGGACACGAUGGUGAGUGUGCCACUGCUUGGGUUGCAUGACCUUAAAGGGCUUUGCCAACCUCAGUGAUUCUGUGCAGGCAUGCUUCAUUAGGUCAGUCGUUAAUUAAGGGGUGGCUGCAGAGGCACAGCUGGACCCCGGCUCCCUUUUCCUCCCGGCUCUGCCACCCCCAGAGCGGAUCCCCCUCCCCAGGGCCGAGCAGGAGCUGAGAUCUGUCCCUGUCCCUGCACCCAGCCAUGUCCCUGCCUGUCCCAAAUCCCUGGGUGUGCAGGGCAGCCAGGCUGGUCCCACCCCUGGGCUGGGCUGUGUCCCCAGCCUGAGCCCCCUGGGCUGGGCUGUGUCCCCAACCUGAGCCCCCUGUCACCCCUGGGCUGGGCUGUGUCCCCAACCUGAGCCCCCUGUCACCCCUGGGCUGGGCUGUGUCUCCAGCCUGGCACCCCUGUCACCCCUGGGCUGGGCUGUGUCCCCAACCUGAGCCCCCUGUCACCCCUGGGCUGGGUUUUGUCCCCAACCUGAGCCCCCUGUCACCCCUGGGCUGGGCUGUGUCCCCAGCCUGGCACCCCUGGGCUGGGUUUUGUCCCCAGCCUGGCACCCCUGGGCUGGGUUUUGUCCCCAACUUGAGCCCCCUGUCACCCCUGGGCUGGGCUGUGUCCCCAGCCUGACA